CCAAUAGCGUAUAUUAAAGUUGUUGCAGUUAAAAAGCUCGUAGUUGAAUUUCGGGAUCAAUAUAUCGGUCGUGCCAUUGGUACGUACUGGUAUCAUUGGUUUCUCCUUUCUGACGAACCAUGAUGUCAUUAAUUUGGUGUUAUGGGAAGUUAGGACUGUUACUUUGAAAAAAUUAGAGUGUUUAAAGCAGGCUUUAGCUUGAAUACAUUAGCAUGGAAUAAUGAAAUAGGACGUUCGAACCUAUUUUGUUGGUUUCUAGGAUCAACGUAAUGAUUAAUAGGGAUAGUUGGGGGCAUUAGUAUUCAAUUGUCAGAGGUGAAAUUCUUGGAUUUAUUGAAGACUAACUACUGCGAAAGCAUUUGCCAAGGAUGUUUUCAUUAAUCAAGAACGAAAGUUAGGGGAUCGAAGACGAUCAGAUACCGUCGUAGUCUUAACCAUAAACUAUGCCGACUAGGGAUCGGAUGAUGUUAAUUUUUUAAUGACUCAUUCGGCGCCUUCCG
Molecule: unclassified non-coding RNA, 500 nt
Filed under: uncultured Glomus
Lineage: Eukaryota; Fungi; Glomeromycota; Glomeromycetes; Glomerales; Glomeraceae
Description: SSU rRNA
Rfam family: Eukaryotic small subunit ribosomal RNA
Source: RNAcentral